AUUUUUUCCGAAAUUUCCUUAAAUUUGAAGUACCGAAAUUUGAAACCUUGCUAGAAUCACAAUCCAAAAUGCUUACCUGAGUGGGGUUCUGGAAAUAAUCUCCUACUGUUGUUGCAUUAACAAGACAACAACGCUUCAAUUUAUACUGUCCUACAAGAUUUAGCUGUUUGAAAACUUGAGGACUUGGAGAAUGCGAUGUUGGCUUGAAGGACAUGAUGUUUAUGUAACUGGAUGCUAGCAGCUUGUGGGUCUGAGCCUUUCUGUUGGAAUUGCAAGUCAUUAGAGAAUUCAACAUAGAAAGCUACCUUAACUUUUGGUGUUGGUGACAGUAGAUUUUAUUAUCUCGCCGGAGGCUGUCGAAAAUCUCAGGAAUAGCUUUUGUUGCCGGUGACAGUAGCUUUUGUGACCUUUCUGGAGGUCGCUGGAAAUCUCACCAGAGUAGCUUUUGUUGCUAGUAACAGUACCUUUUGUUGCUAGUAACAGUACCUUUUGUUGCUAGUAACAGUACCUUUUGUGACCUCGCCGGAGGUUGCCGGAAAUCUCAUCAAAGUAGCUUUUGUUGCUAGCCACAGUAGCUUUUGGUGUUAGUGAUAGUAGCUUUUGUGGUCGCCGGAGGUCGGCCGGAAGUUGGCCGAAGAUUCGCCGGAGUUGAUUGGAGACCUUGCCGGAGGAGAGAGAGAAUGAUUGUUGACUUUUUACUGUAGUGGCAUUUAUAUAAAUAUGUUGGUUUUUAUAUCCAAAAUAUAACACCUUUUUUAAUCUAGUGGCCUUAUGAGGGAAAAAACUAGUUGGUGGCCUUAUGGCUAAAAAAACAUUCAAAUAUGCACUUAUAUGUAAUUAACCCUAGUUUUUUUCAUAGUUAUA
Molecule: long non-coding RNA, 864 nt
Organism: Rosa rugosa (rugosa rose)
Lineage: Eukaryota; Viridiplantae; Streptophyta; Magnoliopsida; Rosales; Rosaceae
Exons: 3
Source: RefSeq, a predicted model, not a curated record